RNAcentral lists this ribosomal RNA (347 nucleotides) under uncultured eukaryote. RNAcentral describes it as "SSU rRNA". It matches the Rfam family "Eukaryotic small subunit ribosomal RNA", at positions 594 to 945 of the family's 1831-position model. The record is from RNAcentral.
AUAGCGUAUAUUAAAGUUGUUGCAGUUAAAAAGCUCGUAGUUGAAUUUUGGACCUGGCUGGGUGGUCUUGCCGAAAGGUAAGCACUGCUCUGGUCGGGUCUUUCCUUCUGGGGAACCUGUGUGCUCUUAAUUGAGUGCGCAGGGGAUCCAGGACUUUUACCUUGAAAAAAUUAGAGUGUUUAAAGCAGGCUUACGCUUGAAUACAUUAGCAUGGAAUAAUAGAAUAGGACUUUGGUUCUAUUUUGUUGGUUUCUAGGACCGAAGUAAUGAUUAAUAGGGAUAGUUGGGGGCAUUAGUAUUUAAUUGUCAGAGGUGAAAUUCUUGGAUUUAUGAAAGACUAACUUCUG